Molecule: unclassified non-coding RNA, 470 nt
Filed under: Hevea brasiliensis (rubber tree)
Lineage: Eukaryota; Viridiplantae; Streptophyta; Magnoliopsida; Malpighiales; Euphorbiaceae
Source: RNAcentral
CUCUUUUCUUUACAGAAGCUCUCCCCUGGCCGCGUAACCAUAUCGGGACCUUCUGAUAUUGUCCUGCCUCUUCUUAUAAAGCAAACCAACCAUUACAACCACGCCCACCACCAAAACCACUCCAAUAGCAAUCCCAGCCUUCUUUCCUCCGCNNNNNNNUCCCUUCGACUGGUCGCCAUUUGCUUCUACAUUGUUGCUGUGAUUGAUAUCACUCGGCUCCACCGGAGCCGGCGCAGGAACACCAGAGUUCUCAGGCGAGUGAGUCGGAGUGGGAGAAGCACCAGGACCAAGCAGAUCUGACGGCGGCGGCGCUGGUGGCGAAACUAUUGGUGAAUAUGUAGGCGAAGGAGGGAGAUCCAUCGCCGGUGAAGGAGAAGGAGGGGAAAGCAGCGGUGAACGGGCAGGUAGUUGAGGAGACGGACUAGGGGACGAGUCUGAUUCCGGUGGUGGAGUUGCAGAGAGAGUAACUU